RNAcentral lists this ribosomal RNA (520 nucleotides) under uncultured Glomus. RNAcentral's name for it is "SSU rRNA". It matches the Rfam family "Eukaryotic small subunit ribosomal RNA", at positions 569 to 1086 of the family's 1831-position model. Lineage: Eukaryota; Fungi; Glomeromycota; Glomeromycetes; Glomerales; Glomeraceae. The record is from RNAcentral.
CGCAGCCGCGGUAAUUCCAGCUCCAAUAGCGUAUAUUAAAGUUGUUGCAGUUAAAAAGCUCGUAGUUGAAUUUCGGGAUCAGUAGGCUGGUCGUGCCACAGGUACGUACUGGUCUCACUGAUUCCUCCUUCCUGAUGAACCGUAAUGCCAUUAAUUUGGUGUUGCGGGGAAACUGGACUGUUACUUUGAAAAAAUUAGAGUGUUUAAAGCAGGCUAACGCUUGAAUACAUUAGCAUGGAAUAAUGAAAUAGGACGUUCGAUCCUAUUUUGUUGGUUUCUAGGGUUGACGUAAUGAUUAAUAGGGAUAGUUGGGGGCGAUUAGUAUUCAAUUGUCAGAGGUGAAAUUCUUGGAUUUAUUGAAGACUAACUACUGCGAAAGCAUUUGCCAAGGAUGUUUUCAUUAAUCAAGAACGAAAGUUAGGGGAUCGAAGACGAUCAGAUACCGUCGUAGUCUUAACCCAUAAACUAUGCCGACUAAGGGAUCGGUAUGAUGUUAAUUUUUUAAUGACUCAUUCGGACG